UGGCAGCAGUAAGGAAUAUUGCGCAAUGGGCGAAAGCCUGACGCAGCGACGCCGCGUGGGGAUGAAGGUCUUCGGAUUGUAAACCCCUUUCGGGAGGGAAGAUGGAGCGAGCAAUCGUUCGGACGGUACUCCAGAAGCAGCCACGGCCAACUUCGUGCCAGCAGCCGCGGUAAUACGAAGGUGGCAAGCGUUGUUCGGAUUACUGGGCGUACAGGGUGUGUAGGCGGUUUGGUAAGCCUUCUGUUAAAGCUUCGGGCCCAACCCGGAAAGCGCGAGGGUACUGCCAGGCUAGAGGGUGGGAGAGGAGCGCGGAAUUCCCGGUGUAGCGGUGAAAUGCGUAGAGAUGGGAGGAAGGCCGGUGGCGAAGGCGGCGCUCUGGAACAUACCUGACGCUGAGACACGAAAGCGUGGGGAGCAACAGGAUUAGAUACCCUGGUAGUCCACGCCCUAAACUAUGGAUACUAAGUGUCGGCGGGUUACCGCCGGUGCGCAGCUAACGCAUUAAGUAUCCCGCCUGGGAAGUACGGCCGCAAGGUUGAAACUCAAAUGAAUUGACGG
Molecule: ribosomal RNA, 558 nt
Filed under: uncultured bacterium
Lineage: Bacteria
Description: bacterial SSU rRNA
Rfam family: Bacterial small subunit ribosomal RNA
Source: RNAcentral